UAAGAAGAUACCUUGAGAAGCAGCGGACCAAUAUCGUAUUCAAGUUGUUCGACUCAAAAAAAGAGAUUCAGAUUUGACUUGAAAAGAAGAAACCAAAUUGAUUUUAAAAAAUAAUAAAAAAUACCAAAAAGAAAUAAAAGAAAAAUAAUUAAGCACAAAGAACAAAGAUCCAAAACAAUAAAUAAAACAAAAAUUAAAAAGUGGAAGAUAGAUUAAAUAAACUAAUGGAUAGAUAGAUAAGUGCCCAAUUGAAACCUUUGAGAGAUAAACCCCAACAAAUUCAAUUAAUGGCUCUAAUCAACCCUCCAAUAAAUAAUCAUUGGAAAAUUGAAUGAUAAAGAAUGAAUUCCCACGAUUCCUUGAAGAAAAUCGAGAAGAAAAACUGCUUGCUUCUAGAAAUCACAAGAAAACAAUUUUGCACAAAAAAAAAAAAUUAACUCCCAGAGUUGAAAGUUUUAUUAAUAAAAAACUAAUGUGUUUUUAAUAGAAAAUGAAGAGGCUUUUAUAUAGGCUAACUAAUUAUAUCAAAAUAAAACUCUCAAGUAUAAUGAAACUCUAAUUAAUUUAAACAAAAAGUAGUUUUAAACUGAACUUUCUUGUUGACUAAGAAACAUAAAACUCCUAAACAACUUAAAAUACUUCAAAAAUAUCCAAAAUUCAAAAUAAAUAAAUAAAUAAUAAAACCUAAUAAAUACAAUAUUGGGUAUAUAUGAUAAAAAUUAAGCCUAAAAAAUGAACUCAAUAUGAUUUAAACUCGAAUUAAAUCUCUAAACUCAUAAUUUCUAUAAUAAUCCCGUCCAAAAAUUCUGCUCGUGUAGUCUUCACUAAAAUGGUCAUAACUUGAGCUUCCAAACUUGAAAUCAAGUGACUCAAAGUGCGUUUCAAAGUCAAGAGCUCUUUAAACGCUAUGUAGACAUCUCAGCCUAGAAAUGCCUGGAUCUCAUCCAAAAAUUCGUCAUAGGUCGACUGAUCUUCCAAACUUGAAAAUUAAUAGAUUAGUUGAAUUGACUUUAAUAAAUUUCUCCUAUCUGAGCAUGUAUCAUAAGGUUGUUGUUGGUAAGGGGAAUCUUUUGUUGUUGCUGCUAUGAAGUUUUUUCUUUUCUUUUUAGGAAACCUGAAUAAAAUUUUGCUCGUGUUUGAGGUCGUUCGAUGAACCUCUAAUGUAUUGAAUAUGUUUAAUUGUUUAAUGAUGGAUUCUCUUUUCCAUAUUUUAAAGUGUUAUCUCUUCAGAUCUGGAGAGUUCUUUUGAUUAUUUGUUGUCAUGUUGAUAAGUUUUGCCAAAAAGCCAAAGGGGGAGAUUGUUGAGUCCUUAGUUGUUCAAAAUUUUGAAGCUACGGUUGUUGUUCGAACACGUCUUUGAACUACCUAUUGGAACACUCUGUGUCAUGCCUUGUUCUGACAUCUGUUUGGACAAAUUGUUAGGACUAUAGUUUGAACAUUUGUUUUGGACAGCCUAAGUAUAGUAUAAGGUUGAGUUUUUUAAUUUAAUCUUUAUAAUGUGUUACAUUUUUAUGUAAAUAAUCCUUAAGCCAUGUUUUAAUUUAAUCAAUGUUGUUGAUCAGAUUUAGGAGAGGAGGAAGCGAAAGUAUCCACAAUCUCAUCUCGAAGCCUUAUCUUUAUCUUUUUUUUACUUGGGGCCAAGCUAUUUUACUUGGAAUUGAAAACUUUGUUUGAAAUUCAAAAUGGGAUGUUUUUUCUUGGAUAAUGUCGCAAUUCAAAUGAUGAUUUUAUCUACACAAAGUUACUUGGCUGUAAUAUUUUGCCAAUAAAUAGGAAGCAACUAUGCAUGUACCAAUGCAUCAUUGAGUGAGUGCUUUUGUUUCAUUUGUUUGUGUAAUUUUUGUUUGUUUUCAUUUAUACUUUGCAUUUUUUAAAAAAAUAAUUGAAGGUUAAAUUUAAUUAAAAAAAUAAAGAUCAAAUUAUCAAAUUUUUAAGAAAUUACAAUAAGGAAAGAAAUAGUUAAGGCAUCACGUUUUUUAUGGCUUUCUUGUAGGACCUGAAAAUAUAAGUCAAUGAAUGGAAGGAGCAAGUAUGAACUGAAGUGCUUCAUGUGUGGUUACUACUUGGUAGCCAUGUUCACAUGGAAGGGUUGUCCCAUGAUUGAAGGUGGCAUUUUCCACCAGGUCAGUGCUCAAAUUUCUUUGAAAAUCUACUAAAUUCAGUAUUCUUGCCAUUUUCUCUUAUUUUUCCGUUAAUUUUCACCUCUAUUUCUACACCAACAAAAAUAGUUGAACCUAUUGGAUGCUAUUUUUUCCGUCAAUGUUGAUCUCUACUACAAUUUGAGCCUUUUAUCUCGUCAACAUCAAGAAAAAUGCUAGAAAUUUAGUUUAAUUCUGAAUUCUACAAUCCCUCUUUUUUCCCCUUGUGACCUUUUUCACUCCAUUUUUCCAUCAUUACGUUUGUUGUUCCACAACUAAUGUUAGUGUAAAUUUCUAGUGAAGAAAAUCUAAUACACGAAUGAAACUCGAACAGAAAAAGAAAAAAAUAGGACAAGAAUUCAAACCGUGUAUCAAGUCAUUAUUUUUAAGGUUAUAUUCGCCUCCACCUAUCUUCGGUGUGCAAAUGAGUUCUAAGCAAAUUAACCUCAAGGAUACAAUAAAGCCAAUGAUUAUUUUCAUUUUGCACUGACGAGAAUAGUCCACUACGUACUGAACAAUGUAUAACAAAAACUCAAUUUUUACAAAGGAUUUCUGCAGUAAUACUUUAUAGAUAAUCUAAUAAUAUUAGAAAAAUGAAGGAAGGAAAAAAAGAAUAUUAGAAUUUGUUGGUGUGUUUUUCAAAUGUAAUUAAAUAGGAAUUUUCAUGUCUCUUCAUAGAGACAUCUUUCAUCUAGUUAUCUUUUUGAAUAAUAAUGUCUUUAAAAUAAACACAUAAUUAUUUAUUUAAUAUUAUAACUAUUCAAAUAAUAUUAUUUAAAUAGUUAUAAUUCUUUUUCAAAAAAUCAAAUAAUAUAACUUUUAAUUAAUUAUACCUAUCUAUUUAUAAUUAUUGAAACACUAUACAGAUUUAAAAAUUUUCGAACAACUAAAUAAUAUGACUUGAUAAUUUCUUCCCAAGAAAAAAAAGAACAAAGAAAAAAAGGUUAUAUAACUUUCCACUAUCCUUCCCUGAAAUUGCCUUGUUAGACCAAUGACCCAUACAUGAUGUGGGUGGCUUAUUUUAGAAGGACUUGACCGUUGACCAGACCCAAAGCAGCCCUUUCCCACUAACCCACCACAGUGCACUCACUCACCACCAUAAAUACUCACCCAUUACUUCUCAAACUCACCACUUCAAACCACAAACUAGCUCUCAUUUUUACAUUCUUCACUGACCCUUUCUCACCAGAAAUUAUUUUCCUCCUUUUUGGCAAUGGCUACUGCUGAGUUUGGCCUUUCAGAAAAUGGUUACUGUGUCUCUUCAACUCAUUUGCACUGGAAAAUGGCUGCUGAUGCCCUCCACUGCUCCCAUUUCAACGAAGUUACUCAAAUGGUGUCACAAUUUGCGGAAGCUAAUACUGUUGAAAUUCAGGGCACUACCUUUACGGUGGCUCAGGUCACGGCCAUUUCUCGUCGAAACCAAGUGAUGGUUUCACUUGAUGAGUCCACUGCUCGAGACCAGGUGGCAAACAGUGCUAACUGGGUUACUAAUGUUGGCACAUAAUUAAAUUAACCUUGCACAAAUAAAUUAUGAAAAGUUAGAAGAGUGAAGAGACUUGAAUAUGAAAAGUGAAAAAACUUGAAUAUGAAUAGUGAAGAGACUUGAAGAUGAAAAGUUAAGAGGCUUGAAUAUGAAAAGAUACACACAUGCAUGAAUAGUCACAACUCCUAGCAUAUAGUGAUAUAGAUGAAUAGUCACUUACAACUCCUAUAUAAAGAGUUGUAUGUGAUGAAGAAUUAUUAACUUUGUGUGCUUGAAAUAAAAGAUUAUUUGAAAGAAUUUUUUCAUACAAAAUUUAUUUCUCUUCUCCAUUAUAUUCUUUAUCAUUUUCUUUGUUUUAUUUCUCCAAAUAUUAAUCAUUCAACUACA
This 4008-nucleotide long non-coding RNA is filed under the name Gossypium barbadense (sea-island cotton). Its description in RNAcentral is "long non-coding RNA (GBAR_LNC016977)". The record is from RNAcentral. Lineage: Eukaryota; Viridiplantae; Streptophyta; Magnoliopsida; Malvales; Malvaceae.